AAUUUAAUAUUUCCCGGAUAAUUAUUGCCGUUCGAUCUACUCUUGGAAUAUCGAACGAAACGUUAUACGUUUUAACCUGUUAAUUGUGGAUUUUAGUUUGAGAAAUCUCUCGUUUUGCACGCAAUAAAAUCAAGGAACGAAGCGUGCAUUCGUCAAACGCAGUACGAUUGCGACUAGGGUAUAUUUUAAUGGGAAACCAAAGUGAAACGGAGAAGAAUUACAUCGUGAUUAUUCAAAUGAUAUAUAAAAAUAUUUCCUCGAAAGUAUCCUUGGCACAGUUCCUAACCGAAUACGAUGCUAACGUGCUUGACUCGACAGAAAUUACGGGCAGGUAAUUUUUUGAAACUGAGAAAUCCCGACGUCAGGAUUGGAUGGGAGUAGGGCCAGGUAGCGUGGAGCGGAGAUGAAUAGCAGAAUCGAUAAAUUCUGCCUUCAUUCGACCGAAUCUGGCGUAUCGGCACAGGAAACGUUUUAAGAUCCGUUGGAGUCCUGGAAGUAUCUCAGCUUUUCUAAGUGCUCCUCUUUGAACAACGGCCCGGCCCCUCAGCUGCCUAUUGUUCGUUAUCUCUGUCUACUACGCAUAGGGGGCGAUCUUAUAUAUUUUCGAGGGGUUCAGAACUAUAAUGGCGUGAAAACAAAGGACAUCGACGUCUGGAACACCUGGAACCUUUUUUCUCUCUUUAAAAAGCUAGCUCCGCGUAUGUUUCGAGUUUUCCUGAGACGAUGAGAAUUUUUGGUACGCAUGGAGUUAUAAGAGCGGACAUAUUGAAAAUGCCUAGGAAGUAAACAGCGGAAAUACAUUCCUUUUCGCGCAAGAAAAUAAGGCUUCAGUUACUUACGUAUCUCAUUCUCAAUACAUGCGACUGAAAGUGCACGUAACUAUCUAGCGUAGACGUUGCACUCAAAGGAUGAAUUCAUUGCAACAACAGAUUAUGAAAUUUACGUAAUUAAACAUGAAAUGUUAUUCAUAAGAAGCCUGAAUCCUUUCUAAUUUUUCCAUGUAUUUCAUAUUUUUAAAUUAUGCAUAAAUAUCUAAAAUUUUAUAAUUGGUAUGUGUUUUUAAGGAAAGGACUUUCGUAUAUUAUAAAUUAUUCAGGGGGGAUUUCCUUUUUUCUUAGACAAAAAUAUCGAUACUUUAGGAUUUUUUAUAAACAAAAGUGUAACAUUAAUUAUUUUGAAACUUUGUAUAACUUGAAAAUUUUUUCAAUUCAGUUCACUUAAAAAUACAGUUUGAAUUGCCCGUGAACUAGGACGCUCCGCAAAAUUGCUUCAUUAACGAUUGACAUGAUAUCUGCCUUCCAGUUCAUAUGAAAUCAAAAAUUCCAAUGAGAUUUUAUUUUAUACACAUGUAAUUAUCGUUUGAUUUACAAUGAAUAAAAAAAAAUUAUUUUUCGAGAAAUGGUAACUUAGAUGUUCGUUUUUUCGCAAAAAAUUACCCGAACUUUUGGAAAUUAAAAAAAAUAUAUACAAUCUAUUGUUUUGCCUGUAGAUCAAACAAUAAAAGGAUCCUUUCUUAACAUUCAGUUAAAAUUUCAAGUUGAUUGAUCCAAUACUUUUUUUUUAAAUCAUGUCAACCAGCUACAAAAAAGUGGUUUCGAGAAAAACGCGUAUAAAGUUUGUAAUGCAGUUACUGAACAAAUAUCAGGUAUUUACAACUAAUCAGAUAUUCCAGGUCUGUAUAUUAUUCCUUCCUCUUACUCGUUGAAUUGAUUUUUUUCUAAAUUUGCUGAUUUUUCUAAUCGCCAAUGUACACUUUAAUAAAAGUCCAUAAUUUUGACAAUUUUUGUGAAUUUUAAUUUAAAAUUUUGCAGAGACAUUCCUACAAAGUUAAACUACAAGAUUCUGUAAAAAACAAAAAAUUGAUUUUUUUACCAAAAGAAAAGAGAAUCCCAUCUUAAAUUGGAAAAAAUUAG
Molecule: long non-coding RNA, 1913 nt
Organism: Nomia melanderi (Alkali bee)
Lineage: Eukaryota; Metazoa; Arthropoda; Insecta; Hymenoptera; Halictidae
Source: RefSeq, a predicted model, not a curated record